This 450-nucleotide ribosomal RNA is filed under the name uncultured bacterium. Its description in RNAcentral is "partial 16S ribosomal RNA". It matches the Rfam family "Bacterial small subunit ribosomal RNA", at positions 354 to 796 of the family's 1533-position model. The record is from RNAcentral.
GUGGGGAAUAUUGGACAAUGGGCGAAAGCCUGAUCCAGCCAUGCCGCGUGUGUGAAGAAGGUCUUCGGAUUGUAAAGCACUUUAAGUUGGGAGGAAGGGCAGUAAGUUAAUACCUUGCUGUUUUGACGUUACCGACAGAAUAAGCACCGGCUAACUUCGUGCCAGCAGCCGCGGUAAUACGAAGGGUGCAAGCGUUAAUCGGAAUUACUGGGCGUAAAGCGCGCGUAGGUGGUUUUGUAAGUUGGAGGUGAAAUCCCCGGGCUCAACCUGGGAACUGCCUCCAAAACUGCAUGACUAGAGUACGGUAGAGGGUAGUGGAAUUUCCGGUGUAGCGGUGAAAUGCGUAGAUAUAGGAAGGAACACCAGUGGCGAAGGCGACUACCUGGACUGAUACUGACACUGAGGUGCGAAAGCGUGGGGAGCAAACAGGAUUAGAAACCCUAGUAGUCC